ACUUUAUCAUCUGCUUUACCUUUUGAUUUGCUGGCACCUUCUGCUUCACGGGUUUCCUUCUCACUCUACGUCAUGCCUUUCUGUUCCAUCACCUUGCGCAUCACACUUUUUUUUUUCUUUCUUUCUUUCCCUCCCCAGAUGAGUCUUUACUAUAUUUGCUUAUUUUCCAGGGGCUGAAAAAAUGGGAGAAAGUGCUUUGUUCUCUGUGUAGAGUUCGGCAGAGAAAGAUAACAUUUUUAAGUCCUUUAUAAUGCCAGUUCCACUUGCUCCCUACCCUGCACCAACAGCUCCUUAUACACCACCAGCUAAUGGUAUCUUAUCUGCCUUUCCCUCUUCUCAACUGCUUCCCAAGAAAUCUUGCCAUCAUUUCAUUGCUUUUUGGUGAUGGAAUGAUUGGAGAUUUAAAUUCUUACUUCUUUUCCAUCAUUUGGACAAAAUUCUAAAAUUGAAUGUAAAAGUAGCAUAAUUAAAAAGAAACAAUAAUUCAUAAUUUCCAUUGGCUAAGAGGAGAAAUGAUGGAUUAGAUAUGUAGAUUUUUAAAUGAGAAUCCUCUGAGACUCUGAUUUGGGUGGAAUGUGGGAUUUGAGAUGUCUUAUGAUAUGCUUUUUUUUAUAUAUAAUUCUUGUAUUCUGAAAUAGUCCAAUUUCUCAUGUGGUGUGGCUUGUAAAGUGUAGAUUGAAACCUCUCUUAGAGAUAGAUAGAAUGCUAGAGCCUUUAGUAUGCUGUGGCUAUUUGUUUGUACUUACAAGUUACAAGUAUUUUAUACAUGAAGUUUUUUCUUGACUGCCAGGUGCACAGAGUCAACUUGUCUGUUCUGGGUGUAGAAACCUUCUCAUGUAUCCAGCUGGAGCCACCUCUGUGUGCUGUGCUGUUUGCAAUGCAGUAACAGGAGUGCCACCUCCUGGUACGUUGCUGUUUCUCCUCACUAAGUCUAUUACUCUUUAUAUAAUUCCCCUGGUUGUAGGUUAUUUGAAAGUUCUGUGAUUUCAAUAAACCGAUCAUGAGGCAGCUAAAUCACAAACACUCGUGUGUGACAGGCACAGAAAUGGCCCAGUUAGUUUGCGGAGGUUGCCAUACUCUACUCAUGUACAUCCGUGGAGCGACAAAUGUGCAAUGUUCUUGUUGUCACACGGUCAAUCUAGCUUUAGAAGGUAUUUUACUACUAAUGAUCUCUCUGAUGUUUAAAGAAUUGUGUAUGCAUGAUGGACAGAAUUUAGGACAUGUUUCUCUUGUGAGCUAAAUCAUUGUGGUUAAGUCUCUAUUUUGUGGGUAAGCAUAAGUGUGUAUUGAAUCAGC
RNAcentral lists this long non-coding RNA (1296 nucleotides) under Phaseolus vulgaris (common bean). RNAcentral's name for it is "long non-coding RNA (PVUL_LNC004197)". Lineage: Eukaryota; Viridiplantae; Streptophyta; Magnoliopsida; Fabales; Fabaceae. The record is from RNAcentral.